UGCAAUGCACCUGAUAGCAAUGGCGUCUGGAAGGCCUUCAAUCAGUUCAGACAUGCUAAUCACUGUUUCACCUAGUCCCAAAUGAUUCUUCAAUGGUGAAUUUGUUGCAGUGCUGAUGACAGUAUUGGCAUAGGCUAUCUGAUAAAACAGAGUGAAAAAGCAAGGUUAUGCAGAAACCAAGUCAUAGUUUAGGAAUUUCAAAAGCAAUGUACUUAUAAAGGCUAAUCUAAACACCGAUAAGAACAAAACUACUAAAUUUGUGUUUAGAUGUCAUUGAGAACACUUGAAAAAGAAAAUAAUCAUUGAAAUACCCAGUAGCCAUCAUUCCACCUGCACAAUUGUCUAUGUUGAUAUUGUCACAAAAGGACUAUGAGAACAUAUCUAUUUAUAUUUCAAAGCUCUAGGUAAAUCUGAUUAAACAAAACCAUGAGUGUAAUAUCUUUGAGACAAGUGAAAACAGUAGAACCAGAAAAGGGACAAUUGAAAAUGGUAACCAAUAAUCGAAAUCUCUGUCAACGUUUUUGGAUCACCUCAUUUCUGAAUAUAUAGUCUCCUCAUCCUCACAGUUCCCCAGAAUGUCAUGUGGCAUUUAAGUGCCCUUUCAGUUUAUUCCCAUUUUUUAUGAAGGUAUCCUAGGAAUAGUAUUUAGAAUUAUACAAUCCUUUUCAUUGCAUGAAGCAACCAUGAAUGGUUUGCCAAAUCCUAUAAGACAAACAAAUGUCAACAUCUCAAGGGGGUUUAUGAACUCAAAUUUCAUCAAUUUUUUACUGAAAUGAAAAUCUAAAAUUACGUGGAACAUUGACUUUUUACAAUAAUAAGCAAUAAACUUCUUAUUGUAGUAAAUUCAAUUGACAAAGCCUCAAGCCCAAGUAAAUCACCUCUUUGACAUAUUGACAUACACAGAAAUUGGAAUGAUGGUGCAGAAUAUCAUAAGUCAAACAAUAAUUGAUACAUUAGAAUCCCAAAAAGACAUGAAUUAUAUAAACUUAAAAGACCAACAGAGUAUAGAGACAGAAAAGGCAAUUUUUUGCUUUCUUAAAAGUAACUUCCUUUGUUUUAGGGAUUGGACUUUUGAGCAAAAUCAAUUUGAAUUCUUUAUUAAAAAAAACCCAUAAUAUUUCCAUUUAAUCAAUAGAUAGCAUAAGAUAAAUUUGUGACAUUAAUGAUGGUAACAUGAUAUGUGCUGCAGAUAGUUUUGCAUGUAAAGCAGCAUCUAGCACAUCAUAUUCCGCAUUGACUGUAUUUCAUGGAGAUCUUGGAAUUCUGCUGAAGAAAUAGAAUCAAUUAUUAAACUUUACCAAUCUCAAAUAUAUUACUCUUUUUGAUCCCUUAACAAACACACACCCAUAUGCUUGCUUCUUAAUAACUGAAAUUCAAAACCAAUCCCAAGAACCAUAAAUUUAACUCAGUCUUAAUCAAUGUUAAUUUGUUAUCAUUAAUCUCACUUUGACUUAACAGAAAUGCCUAUAUGAUUAAGAUAUUAGGAAUGCAUAAAUCUAUUAACUCAUAUGAUUUUUCACCAAAAGAACUAAACAUUAUAUAUAAAAUCCAGCCAAGAGAAAAAUGUUCAAACAACAAUUGUAUAAAUAGGACAGACAGUGCUACGAUAUAACAGUAGUAAUAUUGAAAUUGCUUUAAUCUUAUAUGCCAAUGGCAUCCAUAGAACAAAACAUUUGCUAAACAGCAAUGAUUGACUAAAAGGUACCGCAAUCAAUAUUUUAGAACAGCAUUAUCUAAAAGUCAAUGAAUGGGAAUGGCUAAAAAAAUUUCAAAUUAUGAAUUUUUAUUCAUAAUUAAUAACAUUAGAAAAUAUAAAAAUAAAUGUGAAUAAACAACAAUAAUGGGAUAUAAGCCUCAUGAUCCAAUCUUGAUAAUGUUCAGUCAUCCAAAAUUUCUAUGAAACUUCUCUAACUCUGUCAACAACCUAGAAUUUCUAGAUAAAAAUCAUUAGUUUUUGUCAAUAUCUUCCGAACUACCAAAAGUUCUCCUACUACAAAUGACAAUGGGUAUCUGGGUUAUCAACGAAAGACAGAAGGGGAAAAAAAGCCUCUUGAGAGGGUGGAGUUGGUGAAGAAGAUAAAUCAGACUACACAAAUGAAAGAAAACAAGAAUGGGAGAAAAAGCAGCACAACCAUACCUAAUCCAAGUGUUCAAAUAUUAACAUCUUUCAGGAUUCAAAUCCAAUGUUAAUUCACAGAAUUACAUUGAGAUGAACACUUUGCAGGCAAUCUUCUAAAUCAAAAUAAAACUACACAAGAGAGCUUGAAUCCAAGCAAAAUUUGCUUUCAAAUUUCCAAGUAGUGUUUAAACCCCUUAAUUCCACUUCACAUAUUUUAUAAAUUCCCAUGUGAAAUAAGUUUCUAACGUCAGCCCACAAGGACAGUUUCAUCACAAAUAUUGAAGUUCAAAGUCAACACAGUAAUGCUGUUAACCAUCUUUAUAACCAAGCACAAAUCACCUAACUGCAGAAAGCAACUACCUAAAUACCUAGCUGCACAAAUGUGUAUACAUUGUGAUUUGUGAAGCUGACGCAUGAAUUAUAAAAGGCCUCCUAAUUUUCCCUAGCGAUUAAAUGUAUACCUCCUGAUAUACAACAGCCAGAAAUACAACAACCUAAGAUGUUAAGAGUUGCCAUUUGCCAUAUAUUCCUAAGUAGAUUGAUUCACAAACACACACAGGAGCAUUGAUCAUAAAAAUUCCACACACAAUUUUGACACAAAUAAUACCUUGAGCAUUUGAGGUAACAAUUUCACUAUGGAAAAUCCAGCAUGAAAAAAAGCAAAUCUCAUAUUCAUAUACAUACAUCUAAGAUCAAAUUAUUUCUUAGAGCCUUAUAACAUAACCUCCUAAAUUGACUGGAGAAACCCCAAAACCCCCACAGAUUAAAAAAAAAAAAAAUGCUUUACAGUCUAACACAUGCAAAUCAUCACCAAAACUCCAAAAUUUCUAGUUAAAUCCACACGCAUUUCUAAACAUUCAACGGAAAAGCAAUUUCCGUUAAAUUCAUAACAAAAUCAAAACGCAAAGGCACCAAAUUGAAAUCAGAACACUGAAACUCAACCGCAAGAACAUACAACACGACAACCAAAAAAAACCGAAAAAAUUCAGUUUUUUAACUUCCAACGCAAAACCCACUUCUAAUUCAGCAAAAGAAAUAAUGGGUAUUCAAUAAUUUCACAAUCUAAUCAAAAUUGGAAGGAAUUGGCCAUCAAAAUUUGUGACAGAAGAUUAUGACCUCCGCCUUAAAC
This 3248-nucleotide unclassified non-coding RNA is filed under the name Hevea brasiliensis (rubber tree). Lineage: Eukaryota; Viridiplantae; Streptophyta; Magnoliopsida; Malpighiales; Euphorbiaceae. The record is from RNAcentral.